CGCUCAUCUGCUGGCCUUAUCUCACUGCCGCCCAACCAUUUUCCUCCCUCAAACUAGCACACAGCCUCAACUCCUCUCCCACCUCACGCACGUCUCUCCCAGUCGUUCCUUCAUUUCUCUGGCUCGUCCUUCUCCAUGAGGUCGCGCCCUGCUGCGCCGUCGUGCUGGUCGCCGGCUGAGCCCCCUUCAGUGCCUGACGCCGCAUCUCCCUGGUGCUCACCUCUGUUUCCCCCUGCGUUGGUCGACCUCGCACUCCCUCCCUGCUCCAGAUUUCUCCAUGGCCGCCCCUUUCCUUGCCCCAGGUGGCGAGCUCGCCCCUGCAUUCCUGCUCGCCUAAUCUCCACUUCCCUGUUCCAGCCACCUCCCAUGGACGCCAGCCCUCAGCCAUGGAUGCCGAACCCCCUCUCUUUAGUGCCUUUCUUUGCAGCCCCUGCGUCCCCGUGCGUGUAAGGUGUUUGUAUAAAUGCUCAAGAGGAGUGUCGUGUCGUGGCCAACCCUUUUGGCGUCGUCGGAUGUUUGAUGUUUUGCGCAUCCCGUCUACGACGCCGUCGACCAUCGGUGAGGAUUCGUUCUUGCUUUGUCAUUUCAUCGAUCGACGUCUAUUUGCUAAUGUGAAUUGUGUUUAUGUGCCUAUGUGUGUUGAGGAGCGAAAUCCGUGAAAUCUAGGUGAAGAAGAGACGAAGCACUAAUGUGAAUUGUGUUUAUGUGCCUAUGUGUGUUGAGGAGCGAAAUCCGUGAAAUCUAGGUGAAGAAGAGACGGAGCACGUCGUCGCCAUGGUUGCAGCUUUGCUUUUGUCGUCGUGGAGCCUCCACCAGUGCCGUGUAGCAGGACUGCUCUUAUGUGUUAUUGGUGCUAUUCCGCUUGUACAGCCAAUGAAAUAGGUCCUACUACACAAGGAUGGGAGAAUGUUUAAUGCUUCUUCAGAUACUAUUUCUUGGUCUGUCAAAUCUGCUUGACCCAAAUGCAAGUUUUGCUCAAAUGUGGCAAAAAAUGAUUGUCUCACCAAUUGUUAGCACGUUUGCUUCCAGCAAAGUUGUCCAGAGAAGGAAAAGAUGAAAUGAAACUCAAAUUUUAGUGGUCGCACAAGUGUGGAGACAGUUGAUGACCAAGUUUUUCAAUUAGUAUUUUAGUUUGAAUUUAGAGUACACAUAUGUAUGAGUUAUUUGACAAUGCUUGUUUAUGAACAUAUGUAUGAGUUAUUUGACAAUGCUUGUUUAUAAGAGAUUGAAUGAUACCUAUCUAUAUUAUAUUAAUUAUAAUGUUAUUAAAUAAA
Long non-coding RNA from Zea mays, 1274 nucleotides. RefSeq lists it as uncharacterized. Lineage: Eukaryota; Viridiplantae; Streptophyta; Magnoliopsida; Poales; Poaceae. The record is from RefSeq and is a predicted model, not a curated record. The transcript is spliced from 4 exons.